CAGCCGCCGCGGUAAUACGUAGGUGGCAAGCGUUGUCCGGAUUUAUUGGGCGUAAAGCGAGCGCAGGCGGUUCCUUAAGUCUGAUGUGAAAGCCCCCGGCUCAACCGGGGAGGGUCAUUGGAAACUGGGAAACUUGAGUGCAGAAGAGGAGAGUGGAAUUCCACGUGUAACGGUGAAAUGCGUAGAGAUGUGGAGGAACACCAGUGGCGAAGGCGACUCUCUGGUCUGUAACUGACGCUGAGGAGCGAAAGCGUGGGGAGCGAACAGGAUUAGAUACCCCAGUAGUCCCUGUCUCUUAUAC
RNAcentral lists this ribosomal RNA (301 nucleotides) under uncultured bacterium. Its description in RNAcentral is "partial 16S ribosomal RNA". It matches the Rfam family "Bacterial small subunit ribosomal RNA", at positions 509 to 807 of the family's 1533-position model. The record is from RNAcentral.